Long non-coding RNA from Rosa rugosa (rugosa rose), 418 nucleotides. RefSeq lists it as uncharacterized. The transcript has 2 exons. NCBI's taxonomy places the organism in Eukaryota, Viridiplantae, Streptophyta, Magnoliopsida, Rosales, Rosaceae. The record is from RefSeq and is a predicted model, not a curated record.
GUACCCUCCUUUAGUUGAAACAUUCAAUUUCAGUUUGGAUGGAGAAAUCCCUAACCCACUGUCACUUAAUUUCGAAAUGAGGUUCUUGGAUUUUUGCAAAUUGGAGUUUCAGAGAAGAUUAGCUACUGGGGUAGCUUUGGUUGAAACCAGAAAUAAUGGAGACUUGAGGUUUGAGGAAUCUGCGUUUUUGAAGAUGUUGGAGAAGAGAGAAAUUAUUGGUUCAGUCCAAUUGAUAUCGGAGAUUGGAAUCUGAAUGGUUGACAGUGGUGGAAUGCAGAUACGUUGGAUUAGCUUCUAAUUUGGAAAAGAAGAAUUGGUAAGGGUCUGGGUAUCUUGAACAUGUAUUGUUGUGAUCUGAUUGUAUUAAGUUGAAGUUGUGGUUUGAUUGAAUAAGCGAAAUGAACUUUGGUUUGCAAUA